This 253-nucleotide ribosomal RNA is filed under the name uncultured bacterium. Its description in RNAcentral is "partial 16S ribosomal RNA". It matches the Rfam family "Bacterial small subunit ribosomal RNA", at positions 524 to 776 of the family's 1533-position model. The record is from RNAcentral.
UACGUAGGGACCAAGCGUUGUUCGGAUUUACUGGGCGUAAAGGGCGCGUAGGCGGCCCGCUAAGUCGAACGUGAAAUCCCCGAGCUCAACUCGGGAACUGCGUCCGAUACUGGCGGGCUUGAAUCCGGGAGAGGGAUGCGGAAUUCCAGGUGUAGCGGUGAAAUGCGUAGAUAUCUGGAGGAACACCGGUGGCGAAGGCGGCAUCCUGGACCGGCAUUGACGCUGAGGCGCGAAAGCCAGGGGAGCAAACGGG